RNAcentral lists this ribosomal RNA (503 nucleotides) under uncultured Sphingobacteriales bacterium. RNAcentral describes it as "bacterial SSU rRNA". It matches the Rfam family "Bacterial small subunit ribosomal RNA", at positions 903 to 1382 of the family's 1533-position model. The record is from RNAcentral. Lineage: Bacteria; Pseudomonadati; Bacteroidota; Sphingobacteriia; Sphingobacteriales.
CGCCUUGCCAGCCCGCUCAGAAACUCAAAGGAAUUGACGGGGGCCCGCACAAGCGGUGGAGCAUGUGGUUUAAUUCGAUGAUACGCGAGGAACCUUACCUGGGCUCAAAUGUAUGUUGACGUAUUCUGAAAGGGAUACUUCUUCGGACAAUAUACAAGGUGCUGCAUGGUUGUCGUCAGCUCGUGCCGUGAGGUGUCGGGUUAAGUCCCAUAACGAGCGCAACCCCUAUCAUUAGUUGCCAUCAGGUCAAGCUGGGGACUCUAAUGAAACUGCCUACGCAAGUAGUGAGGAAGGUGGGGAUGACGUCAAAUCAGCACGGCCCUUACGCCUAGGGCUACACACGUACUACAAUGGUGGGUACAAAGGGCAGCGAAACCGCGAGGUCGAGCGAAUCUCAAAAAACCCAUCAUAGUCCGGAUCGCAGUCUGCAACUCGACUGCGUGAAGUCGGAAUCGCUAGUAAUCGUGAAUCAGAAUGUCACGGUGAAUACGUUCCCGGGCCUU